Molecule: ribosomal RNA, 292 nt
Filed under: uncultured bacterium
Lineage: Bacteria
Description: partial 16S ribosomal RNA
Source: RNAcentral
GGACUACAAGGGUAUCUAAUCCUGUUUGCUCCCCACGCUUUCGCGCCUCAGCGUCAGUCAAGGACCAGGUCGCCGCCUUCGCCACCGGUGUUCUUCCCAAUAUCUACGAAUUUCACCUCUACACUGGGAAUUCCACGACCCUCUUCCUCACUCCAGAUCGCACGUAUCAAAUGCAGCCCCCAGGUUAAGCCCAGGAAUUUCACAUCUGACUGUACCAUCCGCCUACGCGCCCUUUACGCCCAGUCAUUCCGAGCAACGCUAGCCCCCUUCGUAUUACCGCGGCGGCUGGCAC